CUUUUACACUUGAUGUCAUUUGUUGAUGCUAUCCUGCAGCAAAUUUGGCUUAUAAAAAAACACAUACACUAUGUAUGUGUGACUGAUAAUGUUAGACAUU
This is a long non-coding RNA of Octopus sinensis (East Asian common octopus), 100 nucleotides long. RefSeq lists it as uncharacterized. The record is from RefSeq and is a predicted model, not a curated record. The transcript has 4 exons. NCBI's taxonomy places the organism in Eukaryota, Metazoa, Mollusca, Cephalopoda, Octopoda, Octopodidae.